CGUGUAGGCGGCCUGGUAAGUUGGGUGUGAAAUCCCUCGGCUCAACCGAGGAACUGCAUUCAAAACUGCUGGGCUUGAGUACGGGAGAGGGAAGCGGAACUCCUAGUGUAGAGGUGAAAUUCGUAGAUAUUAGGAGGAACACCCGUGGCGAAGGCGGCUUCCUGGACCGAUACUGACGCUGAGACGCGAAAGCGUGGGGAGCAAACAGGAUUAGAUACCCUGGUAGUCC
This 229-nucleotide ribosomal RNA is filed under the name uncultured bacterium. Its description in RNAcentral is "partial 16S ribosomal RNA". It matches the Rfam family "Bacterial small subunit ribosomal RNA", at positions 568 to 796 of the family's 1533-position model. The record is from RNAcentral.